RNAcentral lists this ribosomal RNA (274 nucleotides) under uncultured bacterium. Its description in RNAcentral is "partial 16S ribosomal RNA". It matches the Rfam family "Bacterial small subunit ribosomal RNA", at positions 523 to 796 of the family's 1533-position model. The record is from RNAcentral.
ACACGAACCGGACAAACGUUAUUCGGAAUUAUUGGGCUUAAAGGGUGUGUAGGCGGUCAUGUAGGUGGGGUGUGAAAUCCCUCGGCUCAACCGAGGAACUGCGCUCCAAACCCCGUGACUAGAGGGAGACAGAGGUAAGCGGAACUGAUGGUGGAGCGGUGAAGUGCGUUGAUAUCAUCAGGAACACCAGUGGCGAAAGCGGCUUACUGGGUCUCUUCUGACGCUCAGACACGAAAACUAGGGUAGCGAACGGGAUUAGAAACCCUAGUAGUCC